Molecule: ribosomal RNA, 438 nt
Filed under: Vibrio vulnificus
Lineage: Bacteria; Pseudomonadati; Pseudomonadota; Gammaproteobacteria; Vibrionales; Vibrionaceae
Description: bacterial SSU rRNA
Rfam family: Bacterial small subunit ribosomal RNA
Source: RNAcentral
UUUGAUCAUGGCUCAGAUUGAACGCUGGCGGCAGGCCUAACACAUGCAAGUCGAGCGGCAGCACAGAGAAACUUGUUUCUCGGGUGGCGAGCGGCGGACGGGUGAGUAAUGCCUGGGAAAUUGCCCUGAUGUGGGGGAUAACCAUUGGAAACGAUGGCUAAUACCGCAUGAUAGCUUCGGCUCAAAGAGGGGGACCUUCGGGCCUCUCGCGUCAGGAUAUGCCCAGGUGGGAUUAGCUAGUUGGUGAGGUAAGGGCUCACCAAGGCGACGAUCCCUAGCUGGUCUGAGAGGAUGAUCAGCCACACUGGAACUGAGACACGGUCCAGACUCCUACGGGAGGCAGCAGUGGGGAAUAUUGCACAAUGGGCGCAAGCCUGAUGCAGCCAUGCCGCGUGUGUGAAGAAGGCCUUCGGGUUGUAAAGCACUUUCAGUCGUGAG